GGCGGCCGGAGCGCGAUGGCGGGGGCGGCGGGACUCACGGCAGAAGUGAGCUGGAAGGUCUUGGAGCGAAGAGCUCGGACCAAGCGCUCAGGCUCAGUUUAUGAACCUCUUAAAAGCAUUAAUCUUCCAAGACCUGAUAAUGAAACUCUCUGGGAUAAGUUGGACCAUUAUUACAGAAUUGUCAAGUCAACAUUGCUGCUGUAUCAAAGUCCAACUACCGGUCUCUUUCCCACUAAAACAUGCGGUGGUGACCAGAAGGCCAAGAUCCAGGACAGCCUAUACUGCGCUGCUGGGGCCUGGGCUUUGGCUCUUGCAUACAGGCGAAUUGAUGAUGACAAGGGAAGGACCCAUGAGCUGGAGCACUCAGCUAUAAAAUGCAUGAGAGGAAUUCUCUACUGCUAUAUGCGUCAGGCCGAUAAGGUCCAGCAGUUUAAGCAGGAUCCACGCCCAACAACAUGUCUUCACUCUGUUUUCAAUGUGCAUACAGGAGAUGAGUUGCUCUCCUAUGAGGAAUAUGGUCAUCUUCAGAUAAAUGCAGUGUCACUCUAUCUCCUUUACCUUGUGGAAAUGAUUUCCUCAGGACUUCAGAUUAUCUACAACACUGAUGAGGUCUCUUUUAUUCAAAACCUUGUAUUUUGUGUGGAAAGAGUUUACCGUGUGCCUGACUUUGGUGUCUGGGAAAGAGGAAGCAAAUAUAAUAAUGGCAGCACAGAGCUACAUUCGAGCUCGGUUGGUUUAGCAAAAGCAGCUCUAGAAGCAAUUAAUGGAUUCAACCUUUUUGGCAACCAGGGCUGUUCGUGGUCAGUUAUAUUUGUGGAUCUCGAUGCUCACAAUCGCAACAGGCAAACUUUGUGCUCGCUGUUACCCAGAGAAUCAAGAUCACAUAAUACAGAUGCUGCCCUGCUCCCCUGCAUCAGUUAUCCUGCAUUUGCCCUGGAUGAUGAAGUUCUUUUUAGCCAGACACUUGAUAAAGUGGUUAGAAAAUUAAAAGGAAAAUAUGGAUUUAAACGUUUCUUGAGAGAUGGGUAUAGAACAUCAUUGGAAGAUCCCAACAGAUGCUACUACAAGCCAGCUGAAAUUAAGAGACCAGAUCCCCCUAUGUUGCCCAGGCUGGACUGGAACUCCAGGGCUCAAGUGAUUCUCCUGCCUCAGCCUCCCAAGUAGCUCAGACUACAGGCAUACACCACCACAUCCAGCUUUAUUUAAUUUCACAGUUGACUAUCACUUGGAAACCAUUUUAUUGUGUGCACUUUUGAAAUUUUAGCAGUGUUGGCAGUGUUACAAUCUGUUAGGUUGGGCCAAAAGAUCCAUUUAUCUCUUAAACACCUUCAAAUGUUUCUUUCCUAUUUAAUACAUUUUCUGUGCCAAUAUUUACAGCACUUACAUUUGAAUUGGACCACCUGCAACUAACUACCACCUCGCACGCUUCCAACUUUGGAUCUGUCCAGCAAGCUUUCUUGCUUUGGAUCUGCCAGCAAGCUUUCUGCACCUUCUGCUGAGCACCACCAAGGAAAGCCACAGCACUGUGGGUAGGAGCUGCCCCACAGUCAGGAGAUCUUUCUUGGUUCAGCCUCAUCAUUGCUGUCGGUUCUUGUCAGUCCUGCUAUCUGACUCUG
This 1616-nucleotide small RNA is filed under the name Pan troglodytes (chimpanzee). RNAcentral's name for it is "processed transcript". Lineage: Eukaryota; Metazoa; Chordata; Mammalia; Primates; Hominidae. The record is from RNAcentral.